This 221-nucleotide unclassified non-coding RNA is filed under the name plant metagenome. Its description in RNAcentral is "partial contains small subunit ribosomal RNA, internal transcribed spacer 1, and 5.8S ribosomal RNA". The record is from RNAcentral.
UCUCCGUUGGUGAACCAGCGGAGGGAUCAUUACAGAGUUGCAAAACUCCCAACCCUUGUGAACAUACCCGUUACAGUUGCUUCGGCGGGUAGCCCCAGGGCGGGGCUGCAGCCUCUUCUCACGAGGCGCCCGCCGGAGGUAUAUAACUCUUUGUAUUUGUUGGUCUCUCUGAGUAAAUUUAUAAUAAGUCAAAACUUUUAACAACGGAUCUCUUGGUUCUG